Molecule: non-coding RNA, 778 nt
Filed under: Tacola eulimene
Lineage: Eukaryota; Metazoa; Arthropoda; Insecta; Lepidoptera; Nymphalidae
Source: RNAcentral
AAAUAGAUAAAUUUUUAUAUUUUUAGUAAUUUAUUAUGAAUUUAUUUUACAUGUAAAUUUUAGUAUUAAAUUUUAAUUAUUUUAAUAAUAAUUGAUUAUUUUUACAGUAAUUAAAAUUAAAAAUUUAAGAAAUUAAGAUUUAGUAAUAUAAAAAUUAAUAACUAAUUUUGUGCCAGCAGUUGCGGUUAAACAAAAAUUAAAUUAAAUUAUUUCAGUUUAUAAUAAAUAAUAAAAUAAUUAAAUAAAAUAUUGGAUUAUUAAGUAAAAUUUUAAUUCUUGAAAAAUUUAUUUAAAAAUUAUAAUUUAAUAAAUUUUAAUAUAAACUAGGAUUAGAUACCCUAUUAUUAAAAAUUUAAUUAAAAAUACUAAAAUAGUAAAUAAUAUAUUAUUGAAACUUAAAUAAUAUGGCGGUAUUUUAGUUCAUUUAGAGGAAUCUGUCUAGUAAUUGAUAAUCCACGAGUAAAUUUACUUAAUUUAUAAUUUUGUAUAUCAUUGUUAAAAAAAUAUUUUAAAAUAAAAAUAAUAUUUAAAAAUUUAAAAUAAAAAUUAAAUCAGAUCAAGAUGCAGAAAAUAAUUAAGAUAAAGAUGGGUUACAAUAAAAAUAUUUAAAUGGAAAAAAUUUUGUAAAAAAUGAUUGAAGGUGGAUUUAAAUGUAAUUUUAAUUAAUUUAUUAAAAUGAUUAAAAAUUAAAAUAUGUACAUAUUGCCCGUCACUUUCAUUUUAAAAUUGAAAUAAGUCGUAACAAAGUAGAGGUACUGGAAAGUGUUUCUAGAAUGAA